RNAcentral lists this transfer RNA (73 nucleotides) under Myotis brandtii (Brandt's bat). It matches the Rfam family "tRNA". From Rfam's summary of the family: Transfer RNA (tRNA) molecules are approximately 80 nucleotides in length. Their secondary structure includes four short double-helical elements and three loops (D, anti-codon, and T loops). Further hydrogen bonds mediate the characteristic L-shaped molecular structure. tRNAs have two regions of fundamental functional importance: the anti-codon, which is responsible for specific mRNA codon recognition, and the 3' end, to which the tRNAs corresponding amino acid is attached (by aminoacyl-tRNA synthetases). tRNAs cope with the degeneracy of the genetic code in two manners: having more than one tRNA (with a specific anti-codon) for a particular amino acid; and 'wobble' base-pairing, i.e. permitting non-standard base-pairing at the 3rd anti-codon position. The record is from Rfam by way of RNAcentral. Lineage: Eukaryota; Metazoa; Chordata; Mammalia; Chiroptera; Vespertilionidae.
GCCUGUGUGGCUCAGUGGGUAGAGCGUCAGCCUGCAGAUCCAAGGGUCCCGGGUUCGAUUCCCGGUCAGGGCA